This 462-nucleotide ribosomal RNA is filed under the name uncultured bacterium. Its description in RNAcentral is "partial 16S ribosomal RNA". It matches the Rfam family "Bacterial small subunit ribosomal RNA", at positions 28 to 507 of the family's 1533-position model. The record is from RNAcentral.
GACGAACGCUGGCGGCGUGCUUAACACAUGCAAGUCGAACGGAAAGGCCCUUCGGGGUACUCGAGUGGCGAACGGGUGAGUAACACGUGGGUGAUCUGCCCUGCACUUUGGGAUAAGCCUGGGAAACUGGGUCUAAUACCGAAUAUGAUCAUCGGCUUCAUGGUCGGUGGUGGAAAGCUUUUGCGGUGUGGGAUGGGCCCGCGGCCUAUCAGCUUGUUGGUGGGGUAAUGGCCUACCAAGGCGACGACGGGUAGCCGGCCUGAGAGGGUGACCGGCCACACUGGGACUGAGAUACGGCCCAGACUCCUACGGGAGGCAGCAGUGGGGAAUAUUGCACAAUGGGCGCAAGCCUGAUGCAGCGACGCCGCGUGAGGGAUGACGGCCUUCGGGUUGUAAACCUCUUUCAGCACAGACGAAGCGCAAGUGACGGUAGGUGCAGAAGAAGGACCGGCCAACUACGUG